GUAGCUCAGUGGUAGAGUGCUUGCCUCAUAUGCAUGAGGCCCUGGGUUCAAUUCCUCAGC
RNAcentral lists this transfer RNA (60 nucleotides) under Dipodomys ordii (Ord's kangaroo rat). It matches the Rfam family "tRNA", at positions 7 to 64 of the family's 71-position model. From Rfam's summary of the family: Transfer RNA (tRNA) molecules are approximately 80 nucleotides in length. Their secondary structure includes four short double-helical elements and three loops (D, anti-codon, and T loops). The record is from Rfam by way of RNAcentral. Lineage: Eukaryota; Metazoa; Chordata; Mammalia; Rodentia; Heteromyidae.